GGUGCAAGGUUUUCGGUGAGUUUCCUAGAGUUUUAGCCUGGGGUUCGGAAAGUGAGAAAGUGAGCUACGAGUGUCGUGAGCUCACAAAAUCUCAGAGAGAUCUUCAACAUCCUCUCAAGCACGUCUGUUGAUGAUUUAGGGCAUCCGAUGAAUUGACAGACAUCGAUCGAAGGAGUUCGAUCAGCAUCGGCCAUCAAAAGGGCUCUACAAUGAGCUAGCACUCGUGAGGAGUCGAUC
This 237-nucleotide long non-coding RNA is filed under the name Elaeis guineensis (African oil palm). RNAcentral describes it as "long non-coding RNA (EGUI_LNC020117)". The record is from RNAcentral. Lineage: Eukaryota; Viridiplantae; Streptophyta; Magnoliopsida; Arecales; Arecaceae.